AAAGAGAUAAUAGGGACAAGGAGAAGAAGUGGAGACAAGCAUUAGAAUAAGUUCGGCAAUGAAGAAAAGGGUGGCACCAUAGAUAAGGCCAACUAUGAAUAAAGAUGAAGGCAAUAGCAAGAAUUGAUAACCAUUGAUUAGAGUAAAGGCAACAGGAAGGACAAGAAUACAAAGGCAAUUGGAGGCAAGAGAGAAGAUGUAGCCUUACAAAUGAGCACAAAGGCGAUCCAUCAAACAGUCAUGAAAGAGGUCUUAAAGACAAGAAUAGAGGCAAGAACAAGGGCAAUUAAGAGUGACGACGUGGACAAUAAGGUUUAGGAUUUAGGAUUUAGGAUUACAAGAGUAUCUUAGAGAUUUUU
This 359-nucleotide long non-coding RNA is filed under the name Physcomitrium patens. Its description in RNAcentral is "long non-coding RNA (PPAT_LNC007290)". The record is from RNAcentral. Lineage: Eukaryota; Viridiplantae; Streptophyta; Bryopsida; Funariales; Funariaceae.